RNAcentral lists this long non-coding RNA (467 nucleotides) under Monodelphis domestica (gray short-tailed opossum). Its description in RNAcentral is "lncRNA (ENSMODG00000048243.1)". Lineage: Eukaryota; Metazoa; Chordata; Mammalia; Didelphimorphia; Didelphidae. The record is from RNAcentral.
AAAGGGAGAAGGCAUGCUAUAAAGGAGAGACCUCCUAGUUUCAUGGACAGAAGAUCACAAGAUAAGUCUGAAAAAACAGAGGCAAUUCUUUAAGUUUAUCAUUUAUGUCUUUUUCCAAGUCACCAACGAAAAUGCUAAAUAGCCCAAGACCAUGCACAGAUCCCUGGAACAUUUUCCUAGAGACAUUCUUCCAAGAGGAGAGGGCCAUUUCAUCUUGAUUUUUCAGAGCUGUAACUAUGCAACUGGAUGACUGGGAAAGCUUCACAAAAAGCAGCAUAAAACAUGCCCUAUGAACAUCUUUUUAAUGAUAACUUCAGUGGAGAAAAGAGAGAGAGAUCCUGGAACAUCAGGAGGCUGCUGCUAUUUUAAUUCAUUAUUACAAUGAAAAAGAGAUUUCUCCCUGGAAUCAGAGGACCAAGGUGCAAAUUCUGCCUCUUCUACUUAAAAAACAAUUCACAAUCUCCACA